GGGUGCGACUAUACCAGCACUAAUGCACCAAAUCCCAUCAGAACUUCACAGUCAGGCGUGCUUAGGCGAGAGCAGUACUAAGAUCGGUGACCUCUUGGGAAGUAAACGUAUUGCACCCC
This is a non-coding RNA of Citrus sinensis (sweet orange), 119 nucleotides long. Lineage: Eukaryota; Viridiplantae; Streptophyta; Magnoliopsida; Sapindales; Rutaceae. The record is from Rfam.